This is a long non-coding RNA of Rhineura floridana, 479 nucleotides long. RefSeq lists it as uncharacterized. Lineage: Eukaryota; Metazoa; Chordata; Lepidosauria; Squamata; Rhineuridae. The transcript has 2 exons. The record is from RefSeq and is a predicted model, not a curated record.
UUUCCCUCUCUUUUUCUGUCCUCUGUUUCUGUUUUAUUUACCUCACACAUUUGGAAAUUCUUGUCAGCAGAUCCCUGUCUUUGUUCAACAUCCGCUUUCUUGUGAAGGCCAGCCCUUAAGAGAAGCACACAGCAAAGUCUGCUAUCAAGCAGGAUGAUAAAUACACUGGGAAUGAAUAAAAGCAUCCAAGAAACAAAUGCUGAAACUUCCCAGUAGAAAAUAUGAAGAUAUCACAAAGUGGCAUGGGUUCCUUGUCUUUCAGUAAGAAGGAGGCCCAUCAAGAACCAAAAGAGCUGGAUGAAAGUAGUGAGUGUGUUGAAUGUCGGGCAAGAUUACUUUCAAAUUCCAUAUCUCAGUAGUAGAUUUUUCAGCAGAAUGUAUUAUAAAAGGUGGAAGCAGGGUGUGAGACAACCACCCCACAACCCAUAAACCUUUAGGAAUAUUUUGCUAGGGAAAUAAAUUAUUUUUUGGAAAUUUAA